RNAcentral lists this ribosomal RNA (253 nucleotides) under uncultured bacterium. Its description in RNAcentral is "partial 16S ribosomal RNA". It matches the Rfam family "Bacterial small subunit ribosomal RNA", at positions 524 to 776 of the family's 1533-position model. The record is from RNAcentral.
UACGUAGGGACCGAGCGUUGUCCGGAUUCAUUGGGCGUAAAGGGUGCGUAGGCGGCGCGGUAAGUCGGGUGUGAAAUCUCGGAGCUUAACUCCGAAACUGCAUUCGAUACUGCCGUGCUUGAGGACUGGAGAGGAGACUGGAAUUUACGGUGUAGCGGUGAAAUGCGUAGAUAUCGUAAGGAAGACCAGUGGCGAAGGCGGGUCUCUGGACAGUUCCUGACGCUGAGGCACGAAGGUCAGGGGAGCAAACGGG